UACAGAGGUCUCAAGCGUUGUUCGGAUUCAUUGGGCGUAAAGGGUGCGUAGGUGGCGCGCUAAGUCAGGUGUGAAAUCUCGGAGCUUAACUCCGAAACUGCAUUUGAUACUGGCGUGCUUGAGGACUGGAGAGGAGACUGGAAUUCACGGUGUAGCAGUGAAAUGCGUAGAUAUCGUGAGGAAGACCAGUGGCGAAGGCGGGUCUCUGGACCGGUACUGACGCUGAGGCGCGAAAGCGUGGGGAGCAAACAGG
Molecule: ribosomal RNA, 253 nt
Filed under: uncultured bacterium
Lineage: Bacteria
Description: partial 16S ribosomal RNA
Rfam family: Bacterial small subunit ribosomal RNA
Source: RNAcentral